Molecule: transfer RNA, 75 nt
Filed under: Polynucleobacter asymbioticus QLW-P1DMWA-1
Lineage: Bacteria; Pseudomonadati; Pseudomonadota; Betaproteobacteria; Burkholderiales; Burkholderiaceae
Also listed under: 1 other name
Description: tRNA-Cys (GCA) (tRNA-Cys-GCA-2-1)
Rfam family: tRNA
About the family: Transfer RNA (tRNA) molecules are approximately 80 nucleotides in length. Their secondary structure includes four short double-helical elements and three loops (D, anti-codon, and T loops).
Source: RNAcentral
GGCGGAAUGGCAGAGAGGUUAUGCGUGAGAUUGCAAAUCUUACUACCCUAGUUCGAUUCUAGGCUUCCGCCUCCA